Non-coding RNA from Baffinella frigidus, 73 nucleotides. Lineage: Eukaryota; Cryptophyceae; Cryptomonadales; Baffinellaceae. The record is from the annotation of a GenBank genome assembly.
GACUGCGUGGCCUAAUGGACAAGGCGUCUGCCUUCGGAGCAGAAGAUUGCGAGUUCGAGUCUCGUCGCAGCCA